GAAACGUGUAAAAAUAAAGGUAAUUUAGAGCGUAAUGUUAACUGAAAUGACGACAAGAAGAGCGGAGUAAACUACAUCCAUGGUGUGACUUGGUCGCGAACUGGCGUCGGUCUAGCUUACUAAGUUGAAAACGCAAUUGUUGAUCACAGAUUUCGACAGAAAUUCAAAGGAUCUGAGAGAAUUGAUGGUGGAUAUGAUGGGUUAAGUUAACGUUAAGCUUUUAGUCAGGUUUUUGGAAAGAAACAACGGUAUGUUCAUCGUUAGGACUCGCGGUUGUAGCCAUGCAGGAGACGAUUCAAGACAGUAGGACAUAUUUAGACCAAGUGCAGGAUUUUGAUGAAGACUCGCACCGGUAUCCUGACAUGAACAUGUAAAUUUUUCGAGCCUCGAAACCAGCCUCGCUUAUAAUCAUGCCGAGUCAUAGCCGUGAUGGAAGUUGCCAGGAAACAACAGGUUAACUUAUCAUCAUGAAGUAAAUACAUGUAGGCUUAUAAUUCUGCCUACAUGUUUUCGCUUCCAAUAUCAUAGAACUUUAUUUUAUAAAUUCGCCAUGCAGAAGUUGCAGACGGUAUUUAAAACUGUAUAAAAUGAAACAACAGAACGAUAUAUGUUUAAUGUUUCUCUUUUAUAAAUUGAUGAAAUUCUUGUUUGUUUACAAAAUAAACUGUAUAAAUAUC
This is a long non-coding RNA of Ostrea edulis (European flat oyster), 677 nucleotides long. RefSeq lists it as uncharacterized. NCBI's taxonomy places the organism in Eukaryota, Metazoa, Mollusca, Bivalvia, Ostreida, Ostreidae. The transcript has 2 exons. The record is from RefSeq and is a predicted model, not a curated record.